AACGAACGCUGGCGGCAGGCUUAACACAUGCAAGUCGAACGCCCCGCAAGGGGAGUGGCAGACGGGUGAGUAACGCGUGGGAAUCUACCGUGCCCUGCGGAAUAGCUCCGGGAAACUGGAAUUAAUACCGCAUACGCCCUACGGGGAAAGAUUUACCGGGGUACGAUGAGCCCGCGUUGGAUUAGCUAGUUGGUGGGGUA
Molecule: ribosomal RNA, 200 nt
Filed under: uncultured bacterium
Lineage: Bacteria
Description: partial 16S ribosomal RNA
Rfam family: Bacterial small subunit ribosomal RNA
Source: RNAcentral